RNAcentral lists this ribosomal RNA (343 nucleotides) under Saccharibacillus soli. RNAcentral's name for it is "bacterial SSU rRNA". It matches the Rfam family "Bacterial small subunit ribosomal RNA", at positions 1 to 329 of the family's 1533-position model. The record is from RNAcentral. Lineage: Bacteria; Bacillati; Bacillota; Bacilli; Caryophanales; Paenibacillaceae.
UAAUGGAGAGUUUGAUCCUGGCUCAGGACGAACGCUGGCGGCAUGCCUAAUACAUGCAAGUCGAGCGGACUGGAUGAAGAAGCUUGCUUCUUCUGAUGGUUAGCGGCGGACGGGUGAGUAACACGUAGGCAACCUGCCUUUCAGUUUGGGAUAACUUCCGGAAACGGAUGCUAAUACCGAAUACAUCAUCUUCUGGCAUCAGAGGAUGAGGAAAGACGGCGCAAGCUGUCACUGAGAGAUGGGCCUGCGGCGCAUUAGCUAGUUGGUGGGGUAAUGGCUCACCAAGGCGACGAUGCGUAGCCGACCUGAGAGGGUGAACGGCCACACUGGGACUGAGACACGG